UCCAGCUUAUCGCUGGCGGUCUCCUGCGAGUUCCCAACUGAAUGAUGGUAACACAGGACAAGGGUUGCGCUCGUUGCGGGACUUAACCCAACAUCUCACGACACGAGCUGACGACAGCCAUGCAGCACCUCGACUCCCGUCCCUUGCGGGAAAACCGUGUUUCCACAGCUUUUCGUGAGCCGUUCGAGCCCAGGUAAGGUUCUUCGCGUUGCGUCGAAUUGAACCACAUGCUCCACCGCUUGUGCGGGCCCCCGUCAAUUCCUUUGAGUUUCAGCCUUGCGACUGUACUCCCCAGGCGGCAUAUUUAACGCGUUAGCUCCGGCACAGAUCAACUGAAUGACCUACACCAAAUAUGCAUCGUUUAGGGCGUGGACUAC
Molecule: unclassified non-coding RNA, 377 nt
Filed under: uncultured Bryobacterales bacterium
Lineage: Bacteria; Pseudomonadati; Acidobacteriota; Terriglobia; Bryobacterales
Description: contains 16S-23S intergenic spacer region
Source: RNAcentral